GCCUUUCUCUGAAGAACUACUGAGCGGGAGGAGACAGCCAGUUCAAAGACGCCACAUAAAGAAAGACGUCAGAAACAAAAAAAGAAAGGAUUUGCUACAAGCAGCCAAAGUGGUGGAUUGUUGACCAACUGGGUCAGAACGAGGACUGUAGAUGUGCCCUUUUUUUGAGCACCUGCCCCUUUACUGGUCUCUGCACGGCCCUGGAUGUUGUUGAGCGAGGGGGAAGCCGGAGCGCCCGGAGUGAACCCACACUAACACAGAGAGACAUUUCCCACUAUUUGUCAAUGGAUGAAGAUGAACGUGGGGGAAGCCAGAGCGUCUGGAGUGAACCCACACCUACACGGAGACAUUUCCCCGCCGUGCAGUCCUGCUUUUUAACGUUAAAAUGCCCAAUUAACAACAGCACCUCUUGUUCCCGUUCCUACCAAUCAGCCACCCCCUUUUGCAUCUAAUUUACUGGAGAUAUAAGCUACUACUUAUAUCUCUACUCUGGAUCUGUCUUUGAACUGGCGCAGACAGGAUGGUGUUAAAACUCUUUUUGAUUCGCCUCCACAGGAAAAUCCUUUUCUUGGGCUUCUCUUGUUCAGUCAUUGUUCUGCUUUGCUGACUCUUCUGCUUGAGGUUCAUAUUCGUGAGGUGGUGUUAGGAUUGCAUCUUCAGUUAAUGUAACCUCUGUCUGUGGCUGUUUUUCCAUCAAGUCACUCUCUCCUUCUGUGGAAACCGUUUCCUCUUCGAUUGCUGCUGAUAAUUGUUUCAUUUGAAUGAAUCUCAUUUUUAAUGUUGUUAUCUGUCGGAUCCCCAACUGUUUCUGGCACUGAAUUCUCUUGGUGACUAUAGGCUACAGGAACAUUGUCUUGACCUGGGGUUUCCAWAGUAGAGGCAGUAUUCAUUGCUGCCUCUGUCCUGUACUGACCUGCAGAUCUGUCAAAUAGCUCGCUCUGCUGUUCCUGAGGCUUGUUCAGUUGGGYUUCAAAGGGCAAUGCAAAGGGAUCAKUUUGGGUUGAAAUAGUUUUUUGAUCUGGUUUUGUCUGACURCUGGUUUCACACACRMMCAUCUCAGUUUAGGUGGAAAUCGUUCRUCUCACYGUUUUGUCCUGAUAGCUAGUUUCCUGUCCAGCCAUGUCCAUUUGAACUGAAUCAGAUCGAUGACGAAAUGUCCUACGCUGUGCGUGUUMACRUAUGUCUCUCUGAAUUUGAGGAGAAAACAUCRAAUUGCUGCUUUGUCUUCUGUCUGAUACUCCAUUCCUCAUCAGAUCUUUCUGAUGUCUAAGCUGAGCAUUUAGUUUACGAUUUGUAUCGAACAUCUCGUCGAGCUGUCUCAUUAAAUAUUUCUGGACUCUGAUACACUUCAUUUCAGACUCCUUAAAUUUAGCAAGACAUGCACAGUCUGCUUUACUUUCCUUUUUCAAGGAAGCCGCCUYGUCACRUCCCUUUGCUGGCAUUGAAAMGUUUUGUGGUUCGAUAUUCUCAGGAAAAAAACUUACAUUUAAGUGAGGCUCUGAGUUGGGGAGCGUUUUCCAAAAUGUCUUUGUUCUGCUGCUGGCCAAACCUGCCUGAUCACUUUGCUUUUCAUUCAGAGGGCCGUCACUGUUGUCACCGUUUUCAGUAAAAAAGGUUAGAUCGAUACAAGCGUCUGACUCGGGGAAAGAUUUCCAUAGCAGUGGCUUCUUCUUGAUGCUCUUCGUCUUUCGUCUUUGUUGGUCCCGUUUUUGAUCCAUUUCCUUCUGUGACUCUGGUGGAUUUGUUUUCGAUGGCCGGCUGUGCUGUAGAAUUCACUGGUUCAUCGUUACAACUCUUCUUCUUGUUGGACUCGCUCUCAGGUGGCUCUUUUUGAUCCACCGUCUCCAGUGGUUUGGUGAUCAAUUUCUUUUCAGUCAUCAAUGAAGCGUCCUGCUGUUCGAUGUUUUCAGCAGACUUCUUUUGCUCCUGCGUCUCCAACCAGACAGCAAAUGGCACCAUAACAGACUCCCAGGGGAACAGGACACAGAAAAACCAAGACAUAAAUACACUGAAAAACACAGAUCAYAAUCUUUAGUUUUAUUAUAAUAAAAUAUGUAACUGGAAAGACGCUUUUUAUUGACUGGCUUAACUGAUGCUAGUCAACGGAAAAAUAGUCAAGUGACGAUAUAAUUUUCCAUGUGACAUGUUGGAUGCAGUCAACUGAUGACUUUCAGAAAUAUCCAGAACAGUGACGUGCGCUCAGGGGAGGCACUUUCUCAGCACAUUCUGUUCUCUGAAGGUGAAUAAAACUGGGAAAUUGGUGUAAUUUCCUGGUUUCCUGUCAGUGAGCUGAUUAGUUUGUGUAUUCAUGGUGUUUUCUGACAGUUACUGGAGUCUGUCUACCUUCUUUCUAAUCUCCCACUGAUACAUGUUGUUGCAUCCAUUUUAAUAAGAAAGUUAUUUGGUUUAUCAGCAACAUGUUUAGUCUGACACAUCCGUUUAUUAUUAUUAUUAUUUUAAAAUGUAUGUUCCACAUGGAAACACCWUCCCUCCGGGGGAAUCCCAAGGCGAAUUAGAAAUAAAAAUCUUACAAUGGAUGAAGAUGAGUACUGAUGUCGUCAGGCACGUGCAGAGGGCGGGGAGGUUAAAGGGGCUUGAGCACCUGCCCCUUUUGCUCCUUGCCCCCAAGUGCCCUUUUGGUAAAUUUUUUAUUUAUUAUUAUUUCGUAAGCCCUCUGACACAUAAUUGCAUGUACUGAAAUCAUUGUUUUUUUGUUGUAUUUUUUUAAGAAAAACAACAUAAUAAGCCCCUCCGGUCACCUUGUUACCUUUGACCUUUUGCCCAUGACGCACGACACAGUUGCCUCUCGCACAGUGAGAUAAGGCGGCUAACUGCAGAGCUCAACAUAAUGAACAUUGCAGAUUACAGGACAGUUUUUGGUGAAUCAAAAAAAAAAGUUUUUGGUGAAUAAAGUGGAGGCUACACCAGUUUUAUAGUCCCUUCACUAGCUUCCUGUAGCUCAGACAAUAGACUUUAAAAUACUGUUGGUUUAUAAAUCACUAAACGGGUUAGCACCACAAUACAUUGAAGAGUAUUG
Molecule: non-coding RNA, 3037 nt
Organism: Poecilia reticulata (guppy)
Lineage: Eukaryota; Metazoa; Chordata; Actinopteri; Cyprinodontiformes; Poeciliidae
Source: RefSeq, a predicted model, not a curated record